This 384-nucleotide ribosomal RNA is filed under the name uncultured bacterium. Its description in RNAcentral is "bacterial SSU rRNA". It matches the Rfam family "Bacterial small subunit ribosomal RNA", at positions 28 to 428 of the family's 1533-position model. The record is from RNAcentral.
GACGAACGCUGGCGGCGUGCUUAACACAUGCAAGUCGAGCGAACCUUCGGGUUAGCGGCGAACAGGUGAGUAACACGUGGGCAACCUGCCCCGAGCUCUGGGAUAACCCCGGGAAACCGGGGCUAAUACCGGAUACGACAUCGUCAGACAUCUGACGUUGUGGAAAGUUUUUCGGCUCGGGAUGGGCCCGCGGCCUAUCAGCUUGUUGGUGAGGUAACGGCCCACCAAGGCGACGACGGGUAGCCGGCCUGAGAGGGCGACCGGCCACACUGGGACUGAGACACGGCCCAGACUCCUACGGGAGGCAGCAGUGGGGAAUAUUGCGCAAUGGGCGAAAGCCUGACGCAGCGACGCCGCGUGAGGGAUGAAGGCCUUCGGUUGUAA